UUUGCCCUACGGGAGGCAGCAGUGGGGAAUAUUGCACAAUGGGGGAAACCCUGAUGCAGCGACGCCGCGUGAGUGAAGAAGUAUCUCGGUAUGUAAAGCUCUAUCAGCAGGGAAGAAAAUGACGGUACCUGACUAAGAAGCCCCGGCUAACUACGUGCCAGCAGCCGCGGUAAUACGUAGGGGGCAAGCGUUAUCCGGAUUUACUGGGUGUAAAGGGAGCGUAGACGGCGCUGCAAGUCCGGAGUGAAAGCCCAUGGCUUAACCAUGGUACUGCUCUGGAAACUGUGGAGCUUGAGUGCGGGAGG
This 305-nucleotide ribosomal RNA is filed under the name uncultured bacterium. RNAcentral describes it as "bacterial SSU rRNA". It matches the Rfam family "Bacterial small subunit ribosomal RNA", at positions 333 to 655 of the family's 1533-position model. The record is from RNAcentral.